AUUGAACGCUGGCGGCAGGCCUAACACAUGCAAGUCGAACGAGUGGCGGACGGGUGAGUAAUGUCUGGGAAACUGCCUGAUGGAGGGGGAUAACUACUGGAAACGGUAGCUAAUACUGCAUACCAUCAGAUGUGCCCAGAUGGGAUUAGCUAGUUGGUGGGGUAACGGCCCACCAAGGCGACGAUCCCUAGCUGGUCUGAGAGGAUGACCAGCCACCCUGGAACGGAGACGCGGUCCAGACUCCUACGGGAGGCAGCAGUGGGGAAUAGUGCACAAGGGGCGGAAGCCUGAUGUAGCCAAGCCGCGUGGAGGAAGAAGUCCUGCGUGUUGUAAAGGACUUUCAGCGGGGAGGCGUUACCCGCAGAAGAAGCACCGGCUAACUCCGUGCCAGCAGCCGCGGUAAUUC
RNAcentral lists this ribosomal RNA (406 nucleotides) under uncultured bacterium. RNAcentral describes it as "partial 16S ribosomal RNA". It matches the Rfam family "Bacterial small subunit ribosomal RNA", at positions 29 to 526 of the family's 1533-position model. The record is from RNAcentral.